CAUCUAUUCUGCUUUUUCCGUAACCAAUUUACCAAGUACUGCCCGACAAUGAGGCCAAUCUUUUACUCCUCAAGCUUUGAAUAUAUGCAAUUUGAACAUAUGCGUAACUUGAGAUCUUGUGCAGGUGUUGAGAACUAGGCUGAGGAGGUGGUGAAACAGGGCUGUGCUGCAAGCUCAAGCGCUUAGUGACCACUGUCAAGAUAGUGCUGAUACAAAUUCUGAGCGUCAGGCUGAUGUUUAUAUGAUCCGAGAUGUUGUCGACAGUUGACCAAUAAGUUGGUGUUGCAGAAGGGGUUGAGGAGGUGCUGGAACAAGGCUGUGCUGCAAGCUCAAGCGCAUAGCCAACAUGUUCAGAAUAGCGCUUAUGCAAAUGCUGGAGGUCAGGCUGAUGCGCCGAUGAUUGGAGAUGGUGCUGAGCCUGCAACGCAACUCACAGUUGACCACUAAAUUGGCCCGCUUUUUUGCUCUGUUUUGGUCUGUAAUAUGGUUAUCCAGAUGGAUAUAUUAGAACCUGGAGUGUUCAUCCUGUGUGCCUUGAUCCGACAUUGAUUGGCACGUUUGUUUGUCGGAUAAGACAACGAAUUAACGGCCUUCAGUUCAUCAGCUUAACCGAGACUCUGUAAGAAGUCAGACUAAGUGUGAUCUUGCUGUAUGCCUGAUUGUCUGUC
Lolium rigidum is the source of this 668-nucleotide long non-coding RNA. RefSeq lists it as uncharacterized. Lineage: Eukaryota; Viridiplantae; Streptophyta; Magnoliopsida; Poales; Poaceae. The record is from RefSeq and is a predicted model, not a curated record. The transcript has 2 exons.